AGAGAGAGAGAGAUUGCACAUAACUCUUAUGAAUUUGCAUGAAUAUUACUAUUAGUUGAUAUAUAUAGUGUCAUGGAUAUGAUCAAGGCACUGUUUCUAUAUUGAGUGAAAAUCACUUGGUCAAAUAAAAUCUACCUAAUGAAGAAAUUAUCCUUUGAUGAAUUCCUUUGAGCCAAAAAUGUAAAAAAAAUCUUAUUAAAAAAUAAAUUAUAACCCUUAUCCCUCGAGAAGAAAAAAAAUGUUCAUACUUUGGUGAG
This 257-nucleotide long non-coding RNA is filed under the name Lathyrus oleraceus (garden pea). Its description in RNAcentral is "Pisum sativum (pea) long non-coding RNA (PSAT_LNC025776)". Lineage: Eukaryota; Viridiplantae; Streptophyta; Magnoliopsida; Fabales; Fabaceae. The record is from RNAcentral.